Molecule: transfer RNA, 75 nt
Filed under: subsurface metagenome
Description: tRNA-Lys
Rfam family: tRNA
About the family: Transfer RNA (tRNA) molecules are approximately 80 nucleotides in length. Their secondary structure includes four short double-helical elements and three loops (D, anti-codon, and T loops).
Source: RNAcentral
UGGCCCGUUAGCUCAACUGGUAGAGCAGCGGACUCUUAAUCCGCAGGCUGAAGGUUCGAGUCCUUCACGGGUCAU